Molecule: long non-coding RNA, 564 nt
Organism: Polypterus senegalus (gray bichir)
Lineage: Eukaryota; Metazoa; Chordata; Cladistia; Polypteriformes; Polypteridae
Exons: 3
Source: RefSeq, a predicted model, not a curated record
GUCGCAGUGCUUGUUGGGAGUUUGUGUUGGCGCGGAUGGCGGUUGUGGUGUGUGGGAGCGGAUCCUGAGGACCCAUGCCAGGUCUUUUUAAAACUGUUCAGGUGUGAGGAGCCCCCUGAUUGAUCCGCCCGCCUGUGUCAGACAGUCCCUCACACUCACUUAGAUCCUGCACGGACACCGGGUGUGAUCAUUUAUUGUCCCCCGGACCACACGUCACAUACCUCCCCUCCACAGGAAUCUCCUACGUGGUCGGUCAGGAGUCUUCUAACCAGGAUAGGACUGAAGAAGAACAGCCCAGAGUUCCAGAGAGAGCCUCCCUGUUUGACUGAGGAGAUGAGCUGGAAGUCAGGAGGAGAUGGGCAGUGAGCUGGAGAGGUUCAUUGAAACACUUGAAGUUAGGUACCAGCUGAUGACCCCUCCUCCUGGCCAAGGCUACGGGUAGACUCACCCCAGCUGGACUAGUUUGGAGCAGCAGCAAUGCCAGCAUUGUCUGAAUUUGUCACGAGAGGUCCUGAUGUUUUUGUUAUUACUGUUAAACGUGCACAAUCAUUAAAAACACUCAGU